GACAUUUGGUAGAGACUGUUGAAGCCACCUGGUCCAAGCAGACCCCAGAAAAAAGCCACAUUCGUUGGUGCCAGAACAAGGUUGUUAAGGGUGAAGCCUGGUGCCAGAUGUGU
Molecule: ribosomal RNA, 113 nt
Organism: Panthera pardus (leopard)
Lineage: Eukaryota; Metazoa; Chordata; Mammalia; Carnivora; Felidae
Source: Ensembl